CCCCAAUUUAUGUGAUUUCAAAAGUAAAUCGGAAAACUUUUGUGAAAGUGAAAAACGGAGCCUGGCUGAAUGUGUAAGAAUUUUAUGAAGCGUGGGAGUUAGCUUCAUUUCAGGAUAUUUUUCCAGUAACAGCUCUGCAGUCUUCGAGGCAUAUUCACCAAGCUUGCGGCAAUCUGCUAAACAUUGUCAUUCCCUAUGAUGCUGAGUAGUUUUCUUGUAUCUUUAAAAUCUUGGAUGUCAAAGGAUUUCGUCCUUUUUGGGGGCGGAAAUGGGCGUGAAGCAAACUUGAUGCAGUGUGAUAUCACAGGAGCGUACACACAAAAUUGGGUUGCUCUAGCUCUCUAUGUCUCUGAGAACUAGGUGUGAAACAAGACGAACGGCCAAAGAUUUAUUGGUUAUUGCAGUAUCUGUCUAUCUGUGUUACCCGACGAUUCUCUUCGCACAUGGGCAGAAGCCAAUCAAGAUUUAAUGCCAUAGAAAAUUGUAUAUUUUAAAGCAAACUGUUCACAAAUUCCUCUGUUGACAUAACUAUAUUUUUGAUACAUUAAACAUAUUAAGUGUGUUAUUAAAUUUUAUUUUUAUUGCAGAUAAUGUUAAACUUGUAUACAUAGAUUCCCACCAAAAAUGUUUAUAUCUUUUAUAUAAAUACAUACAUAUGCAAUAUUUAUAUACAAUUUUUCAUUUGUAUGAUAUUAAAUGAUUUCUCCCAUGUCCAUUAAUUCAAUAUUUUUUAAUCUUUAUGUUAGUCAUGAUCAAUUUUUGUUGUUGUUAUUUUCCCAUUGAACAAAAUCAUAUAACGUAAGUAAAUUUUUAACAAAAAUAUGAGUGUGUCUACCUUCAUAGUUCACACCGCUCCGUUUUAGUGAUCUCAUUCAGUUUUUUCAUAAUGCAAAAUAUAAUUGUUUUAAACUUAAAAAAAAAAA
Molecule: long non-coding RNA, 923 nt
Organism: Drosophila pseudoobscura
Lineage: Eukaryota; Metazoa; Arthropoda; Insecta; Diptera; Drosophilidae
Exons: 2
Source: RefSeq, a predicted model, not a curated record